This 189-nucleotide ribosomal RNA is filed under the name uncultured bacterium. RNAcentral's name for it is "partial 16S ribosomal RNA". It matches the Rfam family "Bacterial small subunit ribosomal RNA", at positions 338 to 524 of the family's 1533-position model. The record is from RNAcentral.
CCUACGGGAGGCAGCAGUAAGGAAUAUUGGUCAAUGGACGAAAGUCUGAACCAGCCAUGCCGCGUGCAGGAUGACAGCCCUACGGGUUGUAAACUGCUUUUAUACGGGAAGAAUCCCCUGUACGUGUACAGGGUUGACGGUACCGUACGAAUAAGCAUCGGCUAACUCCGUGCCAGCAGCCGCGGUAAU